Molecule: small RNA, 127 nt
Filed under: Marmota monax (woodchuck)
Lineage: Eukaryota; Metazoa; Chordata; Mammalia; Rodentia; Sciuridae
Source: RNAcentral
GCCAGGCGCGGAGGUGCAUGCCUGUCAUCCCAGCAGCUCGGGAGGCUGAGGCAGGAGGAUCGCGAGUUCAAAGCCAGCCUCAGCCACUGAGCAAGGCCCUAAGCAAUUUAAUGAGACCCUGUCUCUA